GCUACAUCUGCAGCGCUGAUUUGGGCUUUUUACAGGCAGGAGAAGUAAGGAGCUCCACCGAACCAGAGAAGUGGGAAGUUCAAGGGUUGGUGAGCAUGAAGGAGACCUCGGCAGCCGCGCCCUCCAGGGAGCCUGGGAGACGGCCUCCUCUUCUGAGGUUGCAUUCUGAGUUCCUGGUCCUUGAGAGAUGCUUCUGUGCUGGAAGAGACACCCACUCACAAUCCAGGCCCUCCAGCCAGGACUUGGGGUCAAAGGUGCGGGCAGUCAGCGCCCUCCUGGUCCAUCGUGAGGUAGAGGGAAAUAGCCCAUUACAAAUGAAUUUCUUUGACACGUUUUGAAUUAGAAAAACAAACCUUCUGCAGACACAGUAGUGGCUUUGAAAGGCUGCCCUCUGGUAAGUUUAAAGGAAGUCUGCGUGGGGACCGCAACUGCAGUGGGGGACGGAAACAGCUUCUGUAGCUUCUGCCCACUUUCAACCUGAAAGAUCUUUCCACUGGGGGAGGAGACCUGGGGCAUGCCAUGGCCCAGACACACUGCCACAGGGGCUGGUACCUGGGAGGCCUCCUCUGCCCGGCAAGACGGCGGCCUCCCUCAAGGGGCUUUAACUUUGCCAAGAUCUUGAGCUGGAGAGGAGUUUAUUAAAUUGGUGGAGUCAGCUGGAAACCUGGUCUCACCUUUGAGAUCAAACCCCGAGCUCGUUAGGGUGAAUCCUCCUUUCUCAUUCCACUGAGCACCUUGGGCUCUAAGGGCACAGAUGAGGAACCAGGCAGAGGGCCCUCCCCUGGGCUCUGUCCCCUCCAGUGGUCCUUGGUGGCCUGGAAGGCCUUCCACCCUGAGGCAGUGCUUAAGGGCUGGGCCUCUCAAUGGGUCUGUGUUGGCUCUUCCUUACAGACAGGAGGAGCUGCCCGCCCCAGCAGGUCUCCCUGUUUAGGACAAUCAGUGUUGGUAAAGGAGCCCUUGGGAUGUGCCUGCUCCCCUCUCCCCAGGCGUGCAAGGACCUUCUGAAUGACCAGGCCAAGUCCUGGAGACCUCCUAGACUGCGGUGGACGCCUGAACGGCAUCAGGGGCCAGGUACAAAGGAGGGCUCUGUGCUGACCUGGUGGCAGGCAGUGUAGCGGCCCACGUGGCUCUGGAUGGUCUCCACACAGAAGUGCAAGUGUCCAUUUGACGAGGGAGGUGGCACGUCACUGUGAGGGCUGCUUUCUGGACUGUGACUCACCUGAAGCUCACACAUUCGCAUCCACCCCUGCAGCUGGGAACCAGAGCCUGUUGCUCUGAUGGCUAGUUUCAACCUGAGAAAAACCAGUGAGAGGCUGUUGUGAAAAGGAGAUUCUGAAUGUCCUCUGAGGCAAGACCUUUUGGCCAAGCUAACAAGUAACUGGGCUCCAGCUGCUGAGAACACUGGGCCUGUGCACCUGCAGAGGCCACGGGGAGAGGUCAGGUCAGGCAGCUGCCUCUUGGGGAAGGUCUGGGAACGUGCCAGCUAGAAACCAAGAGGCCCAGGCACGGCUCGCGCUUCCUGGGGAGGGAUCCACCUGAAAGCUGUGGGGAACUGCUUCUUGGUGCUGACACCAAGUCGUGUGUGAGACUAAUGGGUGUCUGUUGGGAUGGAAAAAAGAAGGUUCUAGACCCAUCUUCACCUGGACCAGCCUUGGGCUCUGGAGCAAGUCAUUGGGUCUGAAAGUACAGUGACAGCCUUGACCCUGCCCUGAAGGCGUCAUGGUGUGCACAUGGGGCAAAGUCACCGCUGUGUUCAUAGAGUAUACCAGAAAUAGGGACCACUGUUCUCCUGCGCCCAGAUCCCCUGACCUGCCUCGACUGUCCUUCACUGCCACAUUGAGCCAGUCACUGAGGAUGCACUCCACACUGGGACCCUCUUGCACAUAGUGGCUGGACAAACCCUGCUGAGACUGCCCACCAGAGGGCCUGCACGUGGCCCCUCUGGGGUCCCCUGGUAUGGCAGCUGGAUUUCAGAGGAAUCUUCUCAGGAGGGGACCUUUAGAGGAUAAGUGCUAAAGGAAAACCAGGAGGAACAGCAAGCUCUUAUCCUGCCUACGGAGGGCCACCUGCAGCACUCUCCUGGACCCACUGACUGAGGUGGUCACCAUCGUUCAGAUUCAGAAGCAGGAGACCUGGACUCCCCAUCUCGAUGAGAGGAGUAGCUAAGAAUUUGGAGCCAGCCGUCACAGCUGCCACAGCAGCGGGAGCCUCCCGCAGGCGCUGCCUAGUCCAGGUCAGGCCUCUCGCUGUCCUGCUGCUCUGGCCCAUUCUGCCUCCUGCUCACACGUUUUCCUUUUCCUUUCCUUUCUUUUUGACACCUGGGCUGCCCACUCUGGAGGGACGCUCCUCUGACAUCAGCUAAUUCCUGGGGAGACAUUUACCUGCCAAACAACCAGCCGUCAGUCCACCCUCGCCGCAGCCCCUCUGCCUGUUGGGCUUUCGCACUCCAGUCCAGCCACGCCCGUAGGAGGUUGCCCCUGGCCCAGGCCCUGGGAAACGACACAGCAGCCAAUCCUCUGCGGCCCCCGCCUGCCAAGCCCCGUUGCUGGGGCUCUUCUCCUUGUGACAGCCUUGUCCGUUUGCCUGUCUCACCAUUCCUGAUCAAGACAAGCCCCGGAACCCUGAGGCGACGCCACCAGAGUGCUAUUUCUAGGUGGACACUGAAUCUGUCCCGUCCUGCAGCUGCCUGGGCCAGUCCUGGGCCAGUCCUCCCUGAUCUCCCCUCCCUCAGGUGUGGAUGUUGUUCUGUCCAGUCACGUAUAGUCCCAGGCCCCUCGCCUAGAACAGGUGACCAUGUGGUCACCCACAAACUCCGCCUGCUCUGAGGCUCGGCUCCAGGGCAGCUCAGAUGAUCCAUGGCUGCGGGUCCAGACCUCCCUAUGACACUCUCCACGUCACCUCGUUGUCUACCGUUUACGAAUAAUUCACAGGCGUUUGUCCCCCAGAGGCCAUGGAUCCUUUCUGGGAAGUUGCAAUGUUUCACUGGCUACAGAAUUUAGAGUUGCCCAGAAGAGCUGAUAGUCACUUGACCAAGGGAGAAAGAAGAAAUGUAUUUGAAGGCAGAGGGAAUUUCGUGUGGAUCAAAAAAAAUUUACAAAAUGUCGUCUAUAAAGUUGACAAAUUGCACUUACAUAACACUAAUUAUAGAUGGGGAAUCAUUCUGCAGCAGCUCUACUGACAUCGUGGGCCUGAUCAUUCUGUGCUGUGCAGGUCCGUUCCAGGCAGCAUGGGGCAUCCGGCAGUGCCCUCGCCUCUACCCCUGGAAGCCAGUAACCGAGCUCCCCACUCCCCAACCACCACCAAGAAAACAUGUGUCCAGACAUUGUCAGAAGUUCUCUGGGAGGGCAUAACUGUUCCAGUGGGGAAGCACUGUUUCAGAUACAGAAAAGUCAAAGAAAAAAGAGGAUUGGUAUAUGUUCCUACACACACAUAUAUGAAAGAAAUAUUAAGACAGCAAGAAUUUCAGCGUGCAUGUCCCAAAGUGUGUGUGUAUUUUAAUCUUCUUGUGUAUUGUUUAGAUUCAUUAAUUAAAUCAGUGCAAUAUUCUAUUUCAUACACAUUUUAGAGAAUGAAUAUAUAUAUUUUGGAAUGACAAUAGCACUGGAAGGUGGGGCUGGAGAUGUAACUCAGUGUUAGCCUACAUACGUAGCUGGCUUGUGAGGUCCUGGGUCCGAUCCUCAGCACCAAAAACAUUUUUAAAUGAACACAUAAAUAAAAUGAUGUUGACAUCUAC
Marmota flaviventris (yellow-bellied marmot) is the source of this 3733-nucleotide long non-coding RNA. RefSeq lists it as uncharacterized. NCBI's taxonomy places the organism in Eukaryota, Metazoa, Chordata, Mammalia, Rodentia, Sciuridae. The record is from RefSeq and is a predicted model, not a curated record.